RNAcentral lists this ribosomal RNA (468 nucleotides) under uncultured bacterium. Its description in RNAcentral is "partial 16S ribosomal RNA". It matches the Rfam family "Bacterial small subunit ribosomal RNA", at positions 28 to 507 of the family's 1533-position model. The record is from RNAcentral.
GACGAACGCUGGCGGCGUGCUUAACACAUGCAAGUCGAACGGAAAGGCCCUGCUUUUGUGGGGUGCUCGAGUGGCGAACGGGUGAGUAACACGUGAGUAACCUGCCCUUGACUUUGGGAUAACUUCAGGAAACUGGGGCUAAUACCGGAUAGAAGCUCCUGCUGCAUGGUGGGGGUUGGAAAGUUUCGGCGGUUGGGGAUGGACUCGCGGCUUAUCAGCUUGUUGGUGGGGUAGUGGCUUACCAAGGCUUUGACGGGUAGCCGGCCUGAGAGGGUGACCGGCCACAUUGGGACUGAGAGACGGCCCAGACUCCUACGGGAGGCAGCAGUGGGGAAUAUGGCACAAUGGGCGGAAGCCGGAUGCAGCAACGCCGCGUGCGGGAUGACGGCCUUCGGGUUGUAAACCGCUUUCGCCUGUGACGAAGCGGGAGUGACGGUAAUGGGUAAAGAAGCACCGGCUAACUACGUG